RNAcentral lists this long non-coding RNA (352 nucleotides) under Nicotiana benthamiana. RNAcentral describes it as "long non-coding RNA (NBEN_LNC034485)". The record is from RNAcentral. Lineage: Eukaryota; Viridiplantae; Streptophyta; Magnoliopsida; Solanales; Solanaceae.
CAACUUGGCCACAUAACUCCUUUUUUUUUAAAUGAUGCUAGUGUCAGCCUAGUUUGUGCGCACCUCGACUAUUUCACCGGAACCUGCUACAGUCCACCAACACAGGUAUCGGUACCAGGUAACUCUGCCCACCAAGACUUAGGCAGAUGAGAAGAAAUUACCUAGUGUUUUUUUUUACUUCGCGGGGAAAGAUCUCAUGGUUCUCCUCCCACUUCAUUGACAACUAAGCUGCAGUCUUGGGUGCAAGGAACUCCUCUAUCAAAUUUUCUCAGAAACUCUUAAGUCACUUUUCGGCCAAUAAUAUUCUGGAACCUUUUACAGCAAAAUGACAUUUUGGUAACUUGUUUGGUUU